CACUUAAUUUGCCACUAGCCACUGCUUGUAACCCAAAUUUUAGCUCGCAACUCGAAGCAAGAGAGACUGCUCCAAUCUCGAAACACUCGUAAGUCGAGACACCACUGUAUUAACAAAUGCAAUGCAACCAAUUUACAUGAAUUUAGGCACUUAGAAAGCUAUUAAGGUCCUUUAUCACUACCUAGAGAUUAGAUGAAUGAUUAAAAAUUUUGAGGAAAUUGUACCCUUUUUUGUUAAGGCUGGAAGGGAAAGGAAUCCUGUCUUAUCUCAGGUAACAGAAAAAAAUUGCUACUGCUAUCGUAGAUCCAUCCAUGAAUGAUGCAACUGAAGGGAAUAAUUAUAGUAGUGAGGCAGUUGGAUGUUCCAUAUUCUCCUGUGAGGAAAAUUCUUUGGAAAAUAAUUCAUAUUUCCACUUCUAUUCUUACAGAAUCAUCUACUAACAGCAGCUACAGAGAUCCAGAAAAAAAGGAUAACGUUUACUCUAACUGUGUUUGGCCAGAAGGAAAGAGGAUGGAUACCUUUU
Molecule: long non-coding RNA, 523 nt
Filed under: Androctonus crassicauda
Lineage: Eukaryota; Metazoa; Arthropoda; Arachnida; Scorpiones; Buthidae
Source: RNAcentral